RNAcentral lists this long non-coding RNA (777 nucleotides) under Mytilus galloprovincialis (Mediterranean mussel). Lineage: Eukaryota; Metazoa; Mollusca; Bivalvia; Mytilida; Mytilidae. The record is from RNAcentral.
CCUGUCAAAAAUAUGUAAACUCAUUUAUGUUUGAUGUCAUUUACCAUUUAAUCAUACCAUUACAUGCAAACAGUUCACUAUUGACCAAUGACAAACUCACUUUUUAUGAUACAUGUAUCGAAGUUUUGAAGUCUUAAUUCUUUUUACCAUGAUUGAAAGGCUAAUGACAAACGUAUGAUAACUUAUGUACUGUAAAUCCAUAAUUUUUUGGUGUGCAUUUAUUAUUGUGAAAGUUGGCCCCCACUUAUGAAAAUUUCUGGAUCCGCCACUGUAUAAAAUUUAGUUUGAGCUUUUAUUUCUGAGAAGUGAUUGUUGUUGCAAUGAUAAAACAUCUUAAAAUAUUGUGAAUUAAUUACAAUUAUAUAGUUAUAUAGUUACCCUUUACGGUUGGAGGUUUUAUGUUUGAAAAAAUGUUGUUAAUCAAUUAACGAUUACAUUUUAAGUUUUUUCAAGCAUUAACUGUUUUAAUCAAAUAAAUAAGAUUUUGCAUUCGAUUAUUUGAUAAAUGAAAGUUCUAGUGACCUCACUUUCAUUUAGAAUAAUACAGGAUGUUAAUAUUGAAAAAGGGACAUAACUCUUUGGAAUCAAUUGUAGUUUUUUGACAACCUUUUCUUUUACAUAUAUUCUAAGUUUCUUAAAAAAUGUGAAUCAUAUCUCUGUGUCAACAGCUACUUCUUAGUAGACAGUUUGAGUAAUCAUCUUUACACUUUCGAAGGUAUUUUUAAAGAUGGAGUAUGUUGUAUCAAAGAAAAGAAAACUAAAAGGUUAAGUUUUGAG